This 497-nucleotide ribosomal RNA is filed under the name uncultured bacterium. RNAcentral's name for it is "partial 16S ribosomal RNA". It matches the Rfam family "Bacterial small subunit ribosomal RNA", at positions 899 to 1397 of the family's 1533-position model. The record is from RNAcentral.
ACUCAAAUGAAUUGACGGGGGCCCGCACAAGCGGUGGAGCAUGUGGUUUAAUUCGAUGCAACGCGAAAAACCUUACCUGGAUUGGAAGAUGCCGGACAGACGUAGAGAUACGUCCUCGUAGCAAUACGCCGGUAGUUAGGUGCUGCAUGGCUGUCGUCAGCUCGUAUCGUGAGAUGUCGGGUUAAGUCCCUUAACGAGCGCAACCCUUAUCUUUAGUUGCCACCAUUCAGUUGGGCACUCUAGAGAGACUGCCGGUGUUAAACCGGAGGAAGGCGGGGAUGACGUCAAGUCCUCAUGGCCCUUAUGUCCAGGGCUACACACGUGCUACAAUGGCCGGUACAGAGGGUUGCCAACCCGCAAGGGGGAGCUAAUCUCAGAAAGCCGGUCUCAGUUCGGAUUGAAGUCUGCAAUUCGACUUCAUGAAGCUGGAAUCGCUAGUAAUCGCAGAUCAGCACGCUGCGGUGAAUACGUUCCCGGGCCUUGUACACACCGCCCGU